This 253-nucleotide ribosomal RNA is filed under the name uncultured bacterium. RNAcentral describes it as "partial 16S ribosomal RNA". It matches the Rfam family "Bacterial small subunit ribosomal RNA", at positions 524 to 776 of the family's 1533-position model. The record is from RNAcentral.
UACAGAGGUCCCAAGCGUUGUUCGGAUUCAUUGGGCGUAAAGGGUGCGUAGGUGGCGCCGUAAGUCGGGUGUGAAAUCCUGGAGCUCAACUCCAGAACUGCCUUUGAUACUGAAGAUCUUGAGUUCGGGAGAGGUGAGUGGAACUGCGAGUGUAGAGGUGAAAUUCGUAGAUAUUGGGAAGAACACCGGUGGCGAAGGCGGCUCACUGGCUCGUAACUGACGCUCAUGCACGACAGCGUGGGGAUCAAACAGG